RNAcentral lists this ribosomal RNA (264 nucleotides) under uncultured bacterium. RNAcentral's name for it is "partial 16S ribosomal RNA". It matches the Rfam family "Bacterial small subunit ribosomal RNA", at positions 337 to 593 of the family's 1533-position model. The record is from RNAcentral.
ACCUACGGGGCGCAGCAGUAGGGAAUCUUCCACAAUGGACGAAAGUCUGAUGGAGCAACGCCGCGUGAGUGAAGAAGGGUUUCGGCUCGUAAAGCUCUGUUGGUAGUGAAGAAAGAUAGAGGUAGUAACUGGCCUUUAUUUGACGGUAAUUACUUAGAAAGUCACGGCUAACUACGUGCCCGCAGCCGCUGUAAUACGUAGGUGGCAAGCGGUGUCCGGAUUUAUUGGGCGUAAAGCGAGUGCACGCGGGUCCAUAAGACUGAU